This 2400-nucleotide long non-coding RNA is filed under the name Homo sapiens (human). RNAcentral describes it as "HSALNT0153406". The record is from RNAcentral. Lineage: Eukaryota; Metazoa; Chordata; Mammalia; Primates; Hominidae.
GUGGCAUUUGCUUCUCCUUUGGGACUUCUGUGGCAGGGUGUGGAACCAAAUCAGAUUGGUUGCAUAUCUGUUUCUCUUCCUGAAAAUACAAUUCAAAUACCUUCAUAGUCUGUGACAGCAACUUAUAACCAACAGACAAUGGUAUUAUUUUUAUUUAUUGAUGGCACUCCCCCAUAGCCAGAACUUCUACUGAGUCAUUCAUCGUGUAUUCCAGGAAUACUUUCCAAAUGGAGUAGUGAGGCACUUCCAAUAACAGUUAUGUAAUCUGUUAACAGUGGCUCAAAAUGACAUGUGAAGGAAUGAUGUACUUCUUUUUUCAGACUCACAGAUCUCAUAUGUUAAUUCAGUCAACAAGUACUUAGGGCUUAUCACAUGCCAGGCACAGGUAAUAUGACAAUAAUGAAAACAAAAACCCUUGCUGUCAUAGAAUUCGGUUUCUAGUGGGAAGAGACAUACAUUAACAAAUCAUAUAUAAGUAAAACAUUAAUUAUGGUGAUAACAGAAAAAGAAAGCAGGGGAGAGGGAUAGUGUCUUAGUUCAGGUUGCUGUAACAAGAGUACCAUAGACAGGGUGGCUUAAACAACAAACAUUUCUUUCUCACAGAUCUAGUGGCUGGGAAGUCUAAGACCAGGGUGCCAGCAUGAAGAAGUUCUGGUGAAGGCUUACAUUCUGGUUUCCUCACAGUGAGGGCUCUUCACGCCCUUAUAAAUGCACUAAUUCUAUUACCCACAUGACCUCAUCUAAAACUAACUCACAAAGGCCAAACCUCCUAUGUUGAGAUUAAGGCUUCAACAUAGGAAUUUUGGGGGGACAAAAACAUUCAGUCUCUAGCAGAUAGGGGCCACUGUGGGAGGGGAUUACAAUCUUAAAUAGGGUUGUCAGGGAAGGCUUCAUGAGGGCAAAGACCUGAGGAGGCAUGGAAAUGAUCCACGCAGAUGCAUGUCUGGGGAAGAGCAUUCCAGGCAGAGGCAGUGGGAAUGGACCCUCAGGUAAGAGCAUGUUUAGCAAGUUCAGAGAAAAGCCUCUUAGGUCAGGUCUGGAGCGAGAGUGGAAAAUGUAACAGGACAGAUCAUGUAAAGACUUGUAGACCACAGUUAGAGGCUUGGACAAUAACUCUGAGGAUGACAUGAAGGUAUUGGGAGGGGGUGUUGAGCAGAGGAGUGAUAUGAUCUGGUUUAUAUUUUAGAUUAUUCUGACUGCUAUGUUGAAAAUAGGGUUGAGAGCAGAGGGGAAGGGCAGCACACCAGUUAAGACCACUUCCCAAAAAUCCAGAUGAUGAUGGGCUUGAACCAGGAGAGUUGCUAUAGGGAUGUGAAGCAAUCAAAUUCUAGAUAUUUGGGACCUGCUGACAGGUACAUAAUGGUGUAUGAGAGAAAAGGCAGUGUGAGAAUGACUCUGAAGUCUGUGGCCUGAGCAAAACAGAAACCUGGAGUUGCCAAUAGCUGAGAUAAAGUUUCUGGUUAAAGAUCAAGAGCUCAGUUUUGGACAAGAGGGGUGUGAGAUUUCUAAUAGACAUUCAGGUGGAGGUGUGGGGAACACACCUGGAUGUGAUGAGCCUGGAAUUCAAAUUCACAUGUGUGAAUUUGAAAAAAGAUUCAGAAAAGAGGUGUGGACUGGAGGAGCUAUCCACACACAGAUAGCAUUUGAAGCCACAAGACUGGGGGUGAUGACGCAGGGAGUAAGUAUAAAUAGAAAAGAGAAGUGGUCCAAGGACUCAGUCCUUACAUCAGAGGUCAAAGAGACAAGAUGGAGACUAGGAGAUAUGAAGGCUUGUGCAGUGAGUGUUUCGGAGAAACGAAGAAACUUCCCAGAAGAAAGGAGAGGUCAACUGCUAACAAGUCAAGUGAAAUGAGAACUGGGAAAUGAGUUGACAAGAGCAAUUUGGCUGGCGUGAUCAGAGAAUGUUUAAGAGAUAAUGUGAGGGAAGAAAAUGGAGGCAGGAAGUAUGAACUACUCUUUUGAGUCAUAUUGUAAAGGAAAAAAAUGGGGUGAUUUUACUCUUUUUUUUUUUUAAAGAUAGGAAAAAAAAGUAUAUUUAUAUGCUGAGGAGAAGAAUCCAGUUGAAGGGGAAUACUGUGGCUUCAGGAGACAGGAAAACUGCCUAAGCCACAUCCUUCAGCAAGAUUCUAUUUCUAGUUGACCCAAAGUCAUGUCUGAGCCUUUAAGGAAAAAAAGAAAACCCUCAAGGAGAUGGUUUUAUUCUUCCUAAAUAUCCAGGUAAAUGCUUAAAAACCAUUCUACCUUCUGGCCAGAAGUAUAAGAUGGGUGGAGAGAAAGAAACUAGAGGACAAGGUAGAUUGGACAAGAAAAAGGAAAGAAAUACAAAGUUACUAAAGAAUUAUGAACAACAUAGAGGAAGGGAACUAUUAAUAAGACUUGACACUGAGAAGUCAACUGUUU